CCCCUAGAUGUUCUGGGCCGCACGCGCGCUACACUGAACAGUUCAACAAGUCUUAACCUUGGCCGAUAGGUCUGGGUAAUCUUUGAACGCUGUUCGUGAUUGGGAUAGACCUUUGCAAUUAUGGGUCUUCAACGAGGAAUUCCUAGUAAACGCAAGUCAUCAGCUUGCAUUGAUUACGUCCCUGCCCUUUGUACACACCGCCCGUCGCACCUACCGAUUGAAUGGUCCGGUGAAAUCUCGGGACGGCGGCUUGGUCGCUUGCGUCCGACUGCUGAGACUUGAUUAAACCAUAUCAUUUAGAGGAAGGUGAAGUCGUAACA
RNAcentral lists this ribosomal RNA (320 nucleotides) under uncultured eukaryote. RNAcentral's name for it is "partial 18S ribosomal RNA". It matches the Rfam family "Eukaryotic small subunit ribosomal RNA", at positions 1470 to 1796 of the family's 1831-position model. The record is from RNAcentral.